This 193-nucleotide ribosomal RNA is filed under the name uncultured bacterium. RNAcentral describes it as "partial 16S ribosomal RNA". It matches the Rfam family "Bacterial small subunit ribosomal RNA", at positions 334 to 524 of the family's 1533-position model. The record is from RNAcentral.
UACUCCUACGGGAGGCAGCAGUGAGGAAUAUUGGUCAAUGGGCGAGAGCCUGAACCAGCCAAGUAGCGUGCAGGAUGACGGCCCUAUGGGUUGUAAACUGCUUUUAUGCGGGGAUAAAGUGGCGUACGUGUACGUUAUUGUAGGUACCGCAUGAAUAAGGACCGGCUAAUUCCGUGCCAGCAGCCGCGGUAAU